Molecule: small nucleolar RNA, 133 nt
Organism: Mastomys coucha (southern multimammate mouse)
Lineage: Eukaryota; Metazoa; Chordata; Mammalia; Rodentia; Muridae
Product: small nucleolar RNA SNORA17
Exons: 1
Source: RefSeq, a predicted model, not a curated record
GUUUCAAUCUAGAAGCAUUGCAGGUGUGGCUGCUGUGUCACAUGCGUGUCAGUAGGUGGCAGAGUGGAGCAGAGCUAUGUCUAUGCUCAGUGUUCUGACCUAGGAACAGCUGAAGGACUAAUAGCCUAGCAGU